Molecule: ribosomal RNA, 340 nt
Filed under: Pseudomonas aeruginosa
Lineage: Bacteria; Pseudomonadati; Pseudomonadota; Gammaproteobacteria; Pseudomonadales; Pseudomonadaceae
Description: bacterial SSU rRNA
Rfam family: Bacterial small subunit ribosomal RNA
Source: RNAcentral
GAACUGAAGAGUUUGAUCAUGGCUCAGAUUGAACGCUGGCGGCAGGCCUAACACAUGCAAGUCGAGCGGAUGAAGGGAGCUUGCUCCUGGAUUCAGCGGCGGACGGGUGAGUAAUUCCUAGGAAUCUGCCUGGUAGUGGGGGAUAACGUCCGGAAACGGGCGCUAAUACCGCAUACGUCCUGAGGGAGAAAGUGGGGGAUCUUCGGACCUCACGCUAUCAGAUGAGCCUAGGUCGGAUUAGCUAGUUGGUGGGGUAAAGGCCUACCAAGGCGACGAUCCGUAACUGGUCUGAGAGGAUGAUCAGUCACACUGGAACUGAGACACGGUCCAGACUCCUACG